CCUACGGGGGGCAGCAGUAGGGAAUAUUGCUCAAUGGGGGAAACCCUGAAGCAGCAACGCCGCGUGGAGGAUGAAGGUCUUCGGAUUGUAAACUCCUUUUGUUAGAGAAGAUCAUGACGGUAUCUAACGAAUAAGCAACGGCUAACACCGUGCCAGCAGCCGCGGUAAUACGGAGGGUGCAAGCGUUACUCGGAAUCACUGGGCGUAAAGGGAGCGUAGGCGGGAUAGUAAGUCAGAUGUGAAAUUCUAUGGCUUAACCAUAGAACUGCAUUUGAAACUGUUAAUCUAGAGUAUGGGAGAGGUAGGUGGAAUUCGUGGUGUAGCGGUGAAAUCCGUAGAGAUCACGAAGAAUACUCAUUGCGAAGGCGGCCUGCUAGAACAUAACUGACGCUGAUGCGCGAAAGCGUGGGGAGCAAACAGGAUUAGAUACCCGUGUAGUC
Molecule: ribosomal RNA, 440 nt
Filed under: uncultured bacterium
Lineage: Bacteria
Description: partial 16S ribosomal RNA
Rfam family: Bacterial small subunit ribosomal RNA
Source: RNAcentral